Gadus chalcogrammus (walleye pollock) is the source of this 695-nucleotide long non-coding RNA. RefSeq lists it as uncharacterized. The record is from RefSeq and is a predicted model, not a curated record. NCBI's taxonomy places the organism in Eukaryota, Metazoa, Chordata, Actinopteri, Gadiformes, Gadidae. The transcript is spliced from 3 exons.
GAUGGAUGGCGGGCGGAUCAAGCGUUUUGUGAUGCGGUUGCGGAUGAAAUAAUAGCCCAUCCGCGCAUCUCUAGAGCUUACCUCUCCCGAAAUAAGUGUUUUUUGUGAAUGACAGGGUCGUUAAGACUGACAAAAAGAUCUCUCACUUACACAGCACUACAAGGCUACUCUCUGCGAUACUUUAACUGGAGCUGGACACUAAAAAAAUGGGCAAAAACGUUUUUAUUCCAAUUCUGAGUCUAAGUCCACAAGGAUAUACUCAAAAAACAGUUACAAUGUUUUUAUUCUGCUUCUGAGCCAAGUCCAAAUGGGCUUAGUAAAAAAAACGGCCAAAAACGUUUUUAUUUCCAUUCUGUGCCUAAAUGUGGAUGGACUUAGUCUCAAAAACGGUGAAAAUGUUUUUAUUCUUCUUCUAGGCCCUUGUUUCCAUCCUCCAGAGUGGGCAGGAUGUCCUCAGAAGGUGUCCGAAAAUAGUGCAUGGUCGUCGGACUGACCGUCGGGGAUCGGGAGGCCGUAAUUCUUCCAGAGAUUCAUCUUCACUCACUGUCUCAUCUUAAGAAAUGGCUGGGGAAAAGAAAUCUGCAGCUGCACAUAGACACUAUCUACUCUGUCCAGUUUGUUUGAGGACCCAAGAGUCUCUAUCCUGUCACCUGCGCAGAGUCUGCAUGAAGGAUAAGACACCACCACAGAUCCUA